GAUGAACGCUAGCGGCAGGCCUAACACAUGCAAGUCGAGGGGGAAGUUACUUUCGGGUGACUGAGACCGGCGUACGGGUGCGUAACGCGUAUACAAUCUGCCUUUCACUGGGGGAUAGCCCGAAGAAAUUUGGAUUAAUACCCCAUAGUAUAUAGGGACGGCAUCGUUUUUCUAUUAAAGCUUAGGUGGUGAAAGAUGAGUAUGCGUUCUAUUAGCUAGUUGGAGAGGUAACGGCUCCCCAAGGCGAUGAUAGAUAGGGGUUCUGAGAGGGAUGACCCCCACACUGGUACUGAGAUACGGACCAGACUUCUACGGUGGGCAGCAGUUAGGGAUAUUCGACAAUGGUCGGAAGACUGAUCCAGCCAUGCCGCGUGCAGGAUGAAGGUCUUAUGGAUUGUAACCUGCUUUUGUAAGGGAAGAAUAAGGGCUACGCGUAGUUUGAUGACGGUACCUUACGAAUAAGCAGCGGCUAACUCCGUG
Molecule: ribosomal RNA, 480 nt
Filed under: uncultured bacterium
Lineage: Bacteria
Description: partial 16S ribosomal RNA
Rfam family: Bacterial small subunit ribosomal RNA
Source: RNAcentral